UACGUAGGGUGCAAGCGUUAAUCGGAAUUACUGGGCGUAAAGCGUGCGCAGGCGGUUAUGUAAGACAGAUGUGAAAUCCCCGGGCUCAACCUGGGAACUGCAUUUGUGACUGCAUAGCUGGAGUACGGUAGAGGGGGAUGGAAUUCCGCGUGUAGCAGUGAAAUGCGUAGAUAUGCGGAGGAACACCGAUGGCGAAGGCAAUCCCCUGGACCUGUACUGACGCUCAUGCACGAAAGCGUGGGGAGCAAACAGG
Molecule: ribosomal RNA, 253 nt
Filed under: uncultured bacterium
Lineage: Bacteria
Description: partial 16S ribosomal RNA
Rfam family: Bacterial small subunit ribosomal RNA
Source: RNAcentral